RNAcentral lists this ribosomal RNA (411 nucleotides) under Triticum aestivum (bread wheat). RNAcentral describes it as "partial small subunit ribosomal RNA". Lineage: Eukaryota; Viridiplantae; Streptophyta; Magnoliopsida; Poales; Poaceae. The record is from RNAcentral.
AUGUCCGGGCUCAUCAUAAUCCUGAGCAGCGCCGCCAAGAUCACUCACCAGGCGCGGGCCCUCACUGGCCAGACCACCAAGUUGCACGCCUGCUGCACCAUCGAGCCGGUCCCAGACGACGAGAUAGAUCCGGGAUCCAACCAGAACUCCAUGCUGGAAGAGUACCCCGAGGACGAGAGCGACCGCGAGACCGGCGACGAGGACAUGCUGGAGAACACCAAGUUCCUCCAGCCUCACACACACGUGAUCUCCUUCGAAAAGAGGCAGGCACUAGUGACAUACCUGGAGAACAACAAGGCCGGCAUCACCGUGUUCAGAUUCACGCUGGACCUGCCGUACCUCCACACGAUAUUCAUGCUCGAGUGGACGCUCUUCCUGUGGCUGCUGGGGAAAACAGUCGGCUUCUCGUGA